GAUCCUGGCUCAGGACGAACGCUGGCGGCGUGCCUAACACAUGCAAGUCGAACGGAAGCAAAGAUUUCGGUUUUUGCUUUAGUGGCGAACGGGUGAGUAACGCGUGAGGAACCUGCCUUUCAGUGGGGGACAACAGUUGGAAACGACUGCUAAUACCGCAUAAUGCUUUUGGAUCGCAUGAUUUAAAAGCCAAAGAUUUAUUGCUGAAAGAUGGCCUCGCGUCUGAUUAGCUGGUUGGUGGGGUAACAG
Molecule: ribosomal RNA, 249 nt
Filed under: uncultured bacterium
Lineage: Bacteria
Description: partial 16S ribosomal RNA
Rfam family: Bacterial small subunit ribosomal RNA
Source: RNAcentral